GGGGGCGUAAUGGUUUCGACAGGGGUAGUUGUAGCAUGGGUAGCGAGCCGGGGUUCCAUCAGCCCGUCAAUACGGUGGACUUAAAGUAAAAGCAAACAACGAAUACGCUUUAGCAGCUUAAUGCUAACGUCCUACUCUCCUUCUUCCCGUGGGGCGGGAUAGGGCGUCACUUAGCGGGAUACCUGAGGUCUAAUUCUCCGCGGACCGACUGGGAAAUUUUAACGAGAUAGCACCGGCGAAGCUUGUCUGUAGGCGUCAAUGGAGCGAAGCUUAAAUUGCAGACUGCGCUCGGAGAAGCCUGUGUAGCGGCACCUUUGGACAGGAGUUCGAUUCUCCUCGCCUCCACCA
RNAcentral lists this transfer-messenger RNA (348 nucleotides) under Propionispora hippei. RNAcentral's name for it is "Standard tmRNA". It matches the Rfam family "transfer-messenger RNA". Rfam says of the family: Bacterial tmRNA, also known as 10Sa RNA or SsrA, is named for its dual tRNA and mRNA-like properties. Its role is to liberate the mRNA from a stalled ribosome. To accomplish this part of the tmRNA is used as a reading frame that ends in a translation stop signal. Lineage: Bacteria; Bacillati; Bacillota; Negativicutes; Selenomonadales; Sporomusaceae. The record is from RNAcentral. RNAcentral also lists the same sequence under 1 other name.